RNAcentral lists this transfer RNA (72 nucleotides) under Salvia splendens (bonfire salvia). It matches the Rfam family "tRNA". Rfam says of the family: Transfer RNA (tRNA) molecules are approximately 80 nucleotides in length. Their secondary structure includes four short double-helical elements and three loops (D, anti-codon, and T loops). The record is from Rfam by way of RNAcentral. Lineage: Eukaryota; Viridiplantae; Streptophyta; Magnoliopsida; Lamiales; Lamiaceae.
UCUGUUGUAGUCUAGUUGACCGGAUACUCGGCUCUCACCCGAGAGACCCGGGUUCAUGUCCCGGCAACGGAA